RNAcentral lists this ribosomal RNA (397 nucleotides) under uncultured bacterium. RNAcentral's name for it is "partial 16S ribosomal RNA". It matches the Rfam family "Bacterial small subunit ribosomal RNA", at positions 523 to 918 of the family's 1533-position model. The record is from RNAcentral.
AUACGUAGGUGGCAAGCGUUGUCCGGAUUUAUUGGGCGUAAAGCGAGCGCAGGCGGUUUCUUAAGUCUGAUGUGAAAGCCCCCGGCUCAACCGGGGAGGGUCAUUGGAAACUGGGAAACUUGAGUGCAGAAGAGGAGAGUGGAAUUCCAUGUGUAGCGGUGAAAUGCGUAGAUAUAUGGAGGAACACCUGUGGCGAAGGCGGCUCUCUGGUCUGUAACUGACGCUGAGGCUCGAAAGCGUGGGGAGCAAACAGGAUUAGAUACCCUGGUAGUCCACGCCGUAAACGAUGAGUGCUAAGUGUUGGAGGGUUUCCGCCCUUCAGUGCUGCAGCUAACGCAUUAAGCACUCCGCCUGGGGAGUACGACCGCAAGGUUGAAACUCAAAUGAAUUGACGGGG